GUUAUAUGGUCAAGUGAAGAAGCGCAUACGGUGGAUGCCUUGGCAGUCAGAGGCGAUGAAAGACGUGGUAGCCUGCGAAAAGCUUCGGGGAGUCGGCAAACAGACUUUGAUCCGGAGAUGUCUGAAUGGGGGAACCCAGCCAUCAUAAGAUGGUUAUCUUGUACUGAAUACAUAGGUGCAAGAGGCGAACCAGGGGAACUGAAACAUCUAAGUACCCUGAGGAAAAGAAAUCAACCGAGAUUCCCUUAGUAGUGGCGAGCGAACGGGGACUAGCCCUUAAGUGGCUUUGAGAUUAGCGGAACGCUCUGGAAAGUGCGGCCAUAGUGGGUGAUAGCCCUGUACGCGAAAAUCUCUUGGUCAUGAAAUCGAGUAGGACGGAGCACGAGAAACUUUGUCUGAAUAUGGGGGGACCAUCCUCCAAGGCUAAAUACUACUGACUGACCGAUAGUGAACUAGUACCGUGAGGGAAAGGCGAAAAGAACCCCGGAGAGGGGAGUGAAAUAGAUCCUGAAACCGUAUGCGUACAAGCAGUGGGAGCCCACUUUGUUGGGUGACUGCGUACCUUUUGUAUAAUGGGUCAGCGACUUAUUUUCAGUGGCGAGCUUAACCGAAUAGGGGAGGCGUAGCGAAAGCGAGUCUUAAUAGGGCGUCUAGUCGCUGGGAAUAGACCCGAAACCGGGCGAUCUAUCCAUGGGCAGGUUGAAGGUUAGGUAACACUGACUGGAGGACCGAACCGACUACCGUUGAAAAGUUAGCGGAUGACCUGUGGAUCGGAGUGAAAGGCUAAUCAAGCUCGGAGAUAGCUGGUUCUCCUCGAAAGCUAUUUAGGUAGCGCCUCAUGUAUCACUGUAGGGGGUAGAGCACUGUUUCGGCUAGGGGGUCAUCCCGACUUACCAAACCGAUGCAAACUCCGAAUACCUACAAGUGCCGAGCAUGGGAGACACACGGCGGGUGCUAACGUCCGUCGUGAAAAGGGAAACAACCCAGACCGUCAGCUAAGGUCCCAAAGUUAUGGUUAAGUGGGAAACGAUGUGGGAAGGCUUAGACAGCUAGGAGGUUGGCUUAGAAGCAGCCACCCUUUAAAGAAAGCGUAAUAGCUCACUAGUCGAGUCGGCCUGCGCGGAAGAUGUAACGGGGCUCAAACCAUACACCGAAGCUACGGGUAUCACGUAAGUGAUGCGGUAGAGGAGCGUUCUGUAAGCCUGUGAAGGUGAGUUGAGAAGCUUGCUGGAGGUAUCAGAAGUGCGAAUGCUGACAUGAGUAACGACAAUGGGUGUGAAAAACACCCACGCCGAAAGACCAAGGUUUCCUGCGCAACGUUAAUCGACGCAGGGUUAGUCGGUCCCUAAGGCGAGGCUGAAAAGCGUAGUCGAUGGAAAACAGGUUAAUAUUCCUGUACUUCUGGUUAUUGCGAUGGAGGGACGGAGAAGGCUAGGCCAGCUUGGCGUUGGUUGUCCAAGUUUAAGGUGGUAGGCUGAGAUCUUAGGUAAAUCCGGGAUCUUAAGGCCGAGAGCUGAUGACGAGUUACCCUUUGGGUGACGAAGUGGUUGAUGCCAUGCUUCCAAGAAAAGCUUCUAAGCUUCAGAUAACCAGGAACCGUACCCCAAACCGACACAGGUGGUUGGGUAGAGAAUACCAAGGCGCUUGAGAGAACUCGGGUGAAGGAACUAGGCAAAAUGGCACCGUAACUUCGGGAGAAGGUGCGCCGGUGAGGGUGAAGGACUUGCUCCGUAAGCUCAUGCCGGUCGAAGAUACCAGGCCGCUGCGACUGUUUAUUAAAAACACAGCACUCUGCAAACACGAAAGUGGACGUAUAGGGUGUGACGCCUGCCCGGUGCCGGAAGGUUAAUUGAUGGGGUUAGCUAACGCGAAGCUCUUGAUCGAAGCCCCGGUAAACGGCGGCCGUAACUAUAACGGUCCUAAGGUAGCGAAAUUCCUUGUCGGGUAAGUUCCGACCUGCACGAAUGGCGUAACGAUGGCGGCGCUGUCUCCACCCGAGACUCAGUGAAAUUGAAAUCGCUGUGAAGAUGCAGUGUAUCCGCGGCUAGACGGAAAGACCCCGUGAACCUUUACUAUAGCUUUGCACUGGACUUUGAAUUUGCUUGUGUAGGAUAGGUGGGAGGCUUUGAAGCGUGGACGCCAGUUCGCGUGGAGCCAUCCUUGAAAUACCACCCUGGCAACUUUGAGGUUCUAACUCAGGUCCGUUAUCCGGAUCGAGGACAGUGUAUGGUGGGUAGUUUGACUGGGGCGGUCUCCUCCUAAAGAGUAACGGAGGAGUACGAAGGUGCGCUCAGACCGGUCGGAAAUCGGUCGUAGAGUAUAAAGGCAAAAGCGCGCUUGACUGCGAGACAGACACGUCGAGCAGGUACGAAAGUAGGUCUUAGUGAUCCGGUGGUUCUGUAUGGAAGGGCCAUCGCUCAACGGAUAAAAGGUACUCCGGGGAUAACAGGCUGAUACCGCCCAAGAGUUCAUAUCGACGGCGGUGUUUGGCACCUCGAUGUCGGCUCAUCACAUCCUGGGGCUGAAGCCGGUCCCAAGGGUAUGGCUGUUCGCCAUUUAAAGUGGUACGCGAGCUGGGUUUAGAACGUCGUGAGACAGUUCGGUCCCUAUCUGCCGUGGACGUUUGAGAUUUGAGAGGGGCUGCUCCUAGUACGAGAGGACCGGAGUGGACGAACCUCUGGUGUUCCGGUUGUCACGCCAGUGGCAUUGCCGGGUAGCUAUGUUCGGGAAAGAUAACCGCUGAAAGCAUCUAAGCGGGAAACUUGCCUCAAGAUGAGAUCUCACUGGAACCUUGAGUUCCCUGAAGGGCCGUCGAAGACUACGACGUUGAUAGGUUGGGUGUGUAAGCGCUGUGAGGCGUUGAGCUAACCAAUACUAAUUGCCCGUGAGGCUUGACCAUAUAACACCCAAGCA
This 2913-nucleotide ribosomal RNA is filed under the name Pseudomonas sp. MWU13-2625. Its description in RNAcentral is "bacterial LSU rRNA". It matches the Rfam family "Bacterial large subunit ribosomal RNA". Lineage: Bacteria; Pseudomonadati; Pseudomonadota; Gammaproteobacteria; Pseudomonadales; Pseudomonadaceae. The record is from RNAcentral.